GACGAACGCUGGCGGCGUGCCUAAUACAUGCAAGUCGAGCGGGGUAGAGAGAGCUUGCUCUCAAAGCCUAGCGGCGGACGGGUGAGUAACACGUAGGCAACCUGCCUGUAAGCCUGGGAUAACUCCGGGAAACCGGAGCUAAUACCAGAUAAGCUGUAAGACCGCAUGGUCUUACACUAAAAGGAUGCGAUCCACUUACAGAUGGGCCUGCGGCGCAUUAGCUUGUUGGUGAGGUAACGGCUCACCAAGGCAACGAUGCGUAGCCGACCUGAGAGGGUGACCGGCCACACUGGGACUGAGACACGGCCCAGACUCCUACGGGAGGCAGCAGUAGGGAAUCUUCCGCAAUGGACGAAAGUCUGACGGAGCAACGCCGCGUGAGUGAUGAGGGUUUUCGGAUUGUAAAACUCUGUUGUCAGGGAAGAACACCCUAGAUUGGAUCUAGGACUGACGGUACCUGACGAGAAAGCCCCGGCUAACUACGUGCCAGCAGCCGCGGUAAUACGUAGGGGGCAAGCGUUGUCCGGAAUUAUUGGGCGUAAAGCGCGCGCAGGCGGUCCUUUAAGUCUGAUGUGAAAGUCCACGGCUCAACCGUGGGAUUGCAUUGGAAACUGGGGGACUUGAGUGCAGAAGAGGAGAGUGGAAUUCCUGGUGUAGCGGUGAAAUGCGUAGAGAUCAGGAGGAACACCAAUGGCGAAGGCAGCUCUCUGGUCUGUAACUGACGCUGAGGCGCGAAAGCGUGGGUAGCAAACAGGAUUAGAUACCCUGGUAGUCCACGCCGUAAACGAUGAGUGCUAGGUGUUAGGGGGUCCAACCCUUAGUGCCGAAGUUAACACAUUAAGCACUCCGCCUGGGGAGUACGGUCGCAAGACUG
Molecule: ribosomal RNA, 874 nt
Filed under: uncultured Bacilli bacterium
Lineage: Bacteria; Bacillati; Bacillota; Bacilli
Description: bacterial SSU rRNA
Rfam family: Bacterial small subunit ribosomal RNA
Source: RNAcentral